RNAcentral lists this ribosomal RNA (320 nucleotides) under Coniochaeta sp. RNAcentral's name for it is "partial large subunit ribosomal RNA". It matches the Rfam family "Eukaryotic large subunit ribosomal RNA", at positions 330 to 671 of the family's 3401-position model. The record is from RNAcentral. Lineage: Eukaryota; Fungi; Ascomycota; Sordariomycetes; Coniochaetales; Coniochaetaceae.
UAGACCGAUAGCGAACAAGUAGAGUGAUCGAAAGAUGAAAAGCACUUUGAAAAGAGGGUUAAAUAGCACGUGAAAUUGUUGAAAGGGAAGCGCUUGUGACCAGACUUGUGCCGGGCUGAUCAUCCAGUGUUCUCACUGGUGCACUCGACCCGGCUCAGGCCAGCGUCGGUUCUCGUAGGGGGAUAAAAGCUUCGGGAACGUGGCACCUUCGGGUGUGUUAUAGCCCGUUGCUUAAUACCCUUGUGGGGACCGAGGUUCGCGCUCUGCAAGGACGCUGGCAUAAUGGUCAUCAGCGACCCGUCUUGAAACACGGACCAAGA